GGCGGGCCUCCCCGCAUUGCACGGUAGCGAACCUGGUCAGGUCCGGAAGGAAGCAGCCACAGUUAUUCAGUGCAAGUGCCGGGGGUCGGGCUCGCCACCCCUCCC
RNAcentral lists this signal recognition particle RNA (105 nucleotides) under Chromobacterium violaceum ATCC 12472. It matches the Rfam family "Bacterial small signal recognition particle RNA". Rfam says of the family: The signal recognition particle (SRP) is a universally conserved ribonucleoprotein involved in the co-translational targeting of proteins to membranes. Archaeal SRP consists of a 7S RNA and homologues of the eukaryotic SRP19 and SRP54 proteins. Lineage: Bacteria; Pseudomonadati; Pseudomonadota; Betaproteobacteria; Neisseriales; Chromobacteriaceae. The record is from RNAcentral.